RNAcentral lists this ribosomal RNA (427 nucleotides) under uncultured bacterium. RNAcentral's name for it is "bacterial SSU rRNA". It matches the Rfam family "Bacterial small subunit ribosomal RNA", at positions 355 to 774 of the family's 1533-position model. The record is from RNAcentral.
UGGGGAAUUUUGGACAAUGGGCGCAAGCCUGAUCCAGCCAUGCCGCGUGUCUGAAGAAGGCCUUCGGGUUGUAAAGGACUUUUGUCCGGGAGCAAGACUUAGAGAUGACUAGUUUCUAGGGGUGAGAGCACUGGAAGAAUAAGCACCGGCUAACUACGUGCCAGCAGCCGCGGUAAUACGUAGGGUGCGAGCGUUAAUCGGAAUGACUGGGCGUAAAGAGUGCGUAGGCGGUUACGCGAGCUUGAUGUGAAAUCCCCGGGCUUAACCUGGGAAUGGCAUGGAGGACAGCGUAGCUAGAGUCUGUCAGAGGUGGGUAGAAUUCCCUGUGUAGCAGUGAAAUGCGUAGAGAUGGGGAGGAAUACCGAUGGCGAAGGCAGCCUGCUGGGAUAAGACUGACGCUGAGGCACGAAGGCGUGGGGAGCAAACA